GUUUUUUCUCAGGCAGCAAUGUCUGAGAAACGUUCACUGUGAACAAAUCAGGACGCUUAGAGUAUGGUUACAAGAAUGACUCAGCGCAGUAUGAAUUUUUUGUUUUCUUCGGAAAACAAGCUCAACGAGAGCCAUCGGGGGUAGAUCUAUCUCAUGACGAGUGGUGGAAUACGGUGACUCAUGAGAGAGACACGGAGGCGAAGGCGUCUACCUAGAGGGUUUCUGUCGAUCAAGGGCGAGAGUAGGAGUAUCCAACAGGAUUAGAGACCCUGGUAGUUCCUACUAUAAACGAUGCCGACAGGAGUUUGUCAUUUUAUAAUGGCAGAAUCUUUGGAGAAAUCAUAGUUCUUGGGCUCUGGGGGAACUACGACCGCAAGGCUGAAACUUGAAGGAAUUGACGGAAGGGCACACCAGGGGUGGAGCCUGUGGCUUAAUUUGAAUCAACACGGGGAAACUUACCAGGACCAGAUGUUUUUUAUGACUGACAGGCUUUGGGUCUUUCAGGAUAUGAUUUUUGGUGGUGCAUGGCCGUUGGUGGUGCGUGGGUUGACCUGUCUAGCGUUGAUUCAGCUAACGAGCGAAAUUAUCGCCAAUUAUAUACUACGCCUAGGUUUCUAGGUUGC
Molecule: ribosomal RNA, 623 nt
Filed under: Tetratrichomonas buttreyi
Lineage: Eukaryota; Parabasalia; Trichomonadida; Trichomonadidae
Description: SSU rRNA
Rfam family: Eukaryotic small subunit ribosomal RNA
Source: RNAcentral